This 253-nucleotide ribosomal RNA is filed under the name uncultured bacterium. RNAcentral's name for it is "partial 16S ribosomal RNA". It matches the Rfam family "Bacterial small subunit ribosomal RNA", at positions 524 to 776 of the family's 1533-position model. The record is from RNAcentral.
GACAGAGGUGGCAAGCGUUGUUCGGAUUCAUUGGGUGUAAAGGGUCCGUAGGCGGUCAGGCAAGUCCGGCGUGAAAUCCCAUGGCUCAACCGUGGAACUGCGUUGGAAACUGCCUGACUUGAGUACCGGAGAGGUGAAGGGAAUUCUCGGUGUAAGGGUGAAAUCUGUAGAUAUCGAGAGGAACACCAGUGGCGAAGGCGCUUCACUGGCCGGUUACUGACGCUCAGGGACGAAAGCAAGGGGAGCAAACAGG